GGCGGAGCAUGCGGAUUAAUUCGAUGCAACGCGAAGAACCUUACCAAGGCUUGACAUACACCAGAACACCCUGGAGACAGGGGACUCUUUUGGACACUGGUGUACAGGUGGUGCAUGGUUGUCGUCAGCUCGUGUCGUGAGAUGUUGGGUUAAGUCCCGCGAACGAGCGCAACCCUCGUCGCAUGUUGCCAGCACGUCAUGGUGGGAACUCAUGUGAGACUGCCGGGGUCAACUCGGAGGAAGUGGGAUGACGUCAAAUCAUCAUGCCCCUUAUGUCUUGGGCUUCACGCAUGCUACAAUGGCCGGUACAAAGGGCUGCGAUGUCGUAAGGCGGAGCGAAUCCCAAAAAGCCGGUCUCAGUUCGGAUUGAGGUCUGCAACUCGACCUCAUGAAGUCGGAGUCGCUAGUAAUCGCAGAUCAGCAACGCUGCGGUGAAUACGUUCCCGGGCCUU
Molecule: ribosomal RNA, 452 nt
Filed under: uncultured Agromyces sp.
Lineage: Bacteria; Bacillati; Actinomycetota; Actinomycetes; Micrococcales; Microbacteriaceae
Description: bacterial SSU rRNA
Rfam family: Bacterial small subunit ribosomal RNA
Source: RNAcentral